RNAcentral lists this non-coding RNA (123 nucleotides) under Maledivibacter halophilus. RNAcentral describes it as "Clostridium halophilum MoCo sequence". It matches the Rfam family "Molybdenum/Tungsten riboswitch aptamer (Moco RNA motif)". The record is from Rfam by way of RNAcentral. Lineage: Bacteria; Bacillati; Bacillota; Clostridia; Peptostreptococcales; Caminicellaceae.
AAUGGAAUAUUUCUCCGAAUUUGUUAGCCUAAAGAGUUAUUAGCUUAAGGGUAAUAAAUCGAAAGGGUAUAAUUGGAAACGAUUAUGCCUCCCGUAGUGGAAAGGAGAAUAGAAUGAUUUAAA